UACGAAGGGGGCUAGCGUUGUUCGGAAUUACUGGGCGUAAAGCGUGCGCAGGCGGCUUCUCAAGUCAGGGGUGAAAGCCCAGAGCUCAACUCUGGAAUUGCCUUUGAGACUGAGUGGCUUGAGUACGAGAGAGGUGAGUGGAAUUCCCAGUGUAGAGGUGAAAUUCGUAGAUAUUGGGAAGAACACCGGUGGCGAAGGCGGCUCUCUGGACCGACACUGACGCUGAGGCGCGAAAGCGUGGGGAGCAAACAGG
RNAcentral lists this ribosomal RNA (253 nucleotides) under uncultured bacterium. RNAcentral's name for it is "partial 16S ribosomal RNA". It matches the Rfam family "Bacterial small subunit ribosomal RNA", at positions 524 to 776 of the family's 1533-position model. The record is from RNAcentral.